ACGGCCUGCUCGUGAUCGUCUUCUCACCCGUGUCACGCGGCAGGCACACGGAGGCCCCCGCGCGGUCGACUCGCGCGGGGGCCCUCC
This 87-nucleotide non-coding RNA is filed under the name Streptomyces caatingaensis. Its description in RNAcentral is "sodF sRNA". It matches the Rfam family "sodF sRNA". From Rfam's summary of the family: Identified in Streptomyces coelicolor. It is produced from sodF mRNA by cleavage of about 90 nucleotides from its 3'UTR. The record is from Rfam by way of RNAcentral. Lineage: Bacteria; Bacillati; Actinomycetota; Actinomycetes; Kitasatosporales; Streptomycetaceae.